Grus americana (Whooping crane) is the source of this 5226-nucleotide RNA transcript. It is a transcript of the gene named autophagy related 13, with no coding region annotated. NCBI's taxonomy places the organism in Eukaryota, Metazoa, Chordata, Aves, Gruiformes, Gruidae. The record is from RefSeq and is a predicted model, not a curated record. The transcript has 19 exons.
AAAACAAACAGCAGCGGUGGCGGUGAUGGCGGCGGCGGCGGCGGCGCGGCGUAGGCCGCGGCUCUGAGGGCAGCGGCAGCUCGACCCCCUACCACCGGCCCCUCACCUCCACAGGCACUGAUACCCGCGGCGAGCCGCAGCGGAGCCGGCCGGCUGCGAGACCCCCACCGGUCCGGGCGCCGGGGUCCGGAACCAAGGAGGAGGCGGAGGAGGGGCGCCGGCCGGAGCCCCAGGGCAGCCGCAGGGCCCUUGGGACUUGGAGGCGCAGCUAGCGGGCCCGGGGCUGCGGGGACCCCCCCGUGCCCGGGCGGGGCGCUGAGGAGACGCCGGAGCACGGCGGGGGGAGCGGGGCGGCGGGCCCCCCUCGGGCAGCCGGGCCUCCGCGCGGGAUGAGCCGCCGCGCCGCCAGCACUGCCGCCCCCGCACAGAUUGCCAUAUGCAAUGGACACUGAUCUCAGUUCCCAGGACAGGAAGGACCUGGACAAGUUCAUCAAAUUUUUUGCUUUAAAGACGGUACAAGUAAUUGUCCAGGCCCGACUUGGAGAGAAAAUCUGUACCCGAUCAUCAUCCUCCCCAACAGGCUCUGACUGGUUCAAUUUGGCAAUCAAAGAUAUACCAGAGGUUACUCAUGAAGCAAAGAAAGCCCUGGCAGGACAACUACCUGCUGUUGGACGGUCUAUGUGCGUGGAGAUUUCUCUCAAAACCUCAGAGGGGGACUCCAUGGAGCUGGAAAUUUGGUGUCUAGAAAUGAAUGAAAAGUGUGACAAAGAAAUCAAAGUUUCAUACACCGUAUACAACAGGCUGUCUCUAUUGCUGAAGUCUUUGCUUGCUAUAACCAGGGUAACUCCAGCCUACAGACUCUCAAGGAAACAAGGCCAUGAAUAUGUAAUAUUGUACAGGAUAUAUUUUGGUGAAGUGCAACUGAGUGGCUUGGGAGAAGGUUUCCAGACAGUCCGUGUUGGGACAGUGGGUACCCCAGUGGGCACCAUCACUUUGUCUUGUGCUUACAGAAUCAACCUUGCUUUUAUGUCAACCAGGCAGUUUGAGAGGACCCCUCCUAUCAUGGGGAUUAUCAUUGAUCACUUUGUGGACCGUCCCUAUCCCAGCUCUUCACCCAUGCAUCCCUGCAAUUACAGAGCUGGUGAGGACAAUGGUGCAGUAUACCCCUCAGUAGAAGAUUCCCAAGAAGUGUGUACCACGUCUUUUUCCACCUCUCCUCCAUCUCAGUAUGUUUUUACUGUUACAAAGGCACAUUUUCAGACCCCUCCUCCUGUGGUGACGGACACCUUGAAGGUCCCAGUGAUGGGACUGGCCUUUUCACAUCAACUUUCCAGCUCUCGUCUUUCCUAUCAGCCUGCUGCGCUGGGAGUUGGAUCAGCUGACACGGGGUAUCCUGUACUCUUUGCUGGUGGCUUGAACGCUGCACACCCUCACCAGUUGAUUGGUCCAGGCAAAGAGGGGGGAGUUCCCCCAAUUCCAAGCCAGCCAGCACAUGGCACUCAAGCUGACCAAGAGAGGAUGUGCACCCCGCUGGAUGGAGUCCACUACUCAGCAGCUACUCCUUCUAGUAGCGAGGACACAGAAACGGUAUCAAACAGCAGCGAAGGGAAGUGUGGCUCCCCACGUGACCUUUUGGAGACCAUCUUUAUCCGGAAGGUGGGAGCUUUUGUCAACAAACCCAUUAACCAGGUGACCAUGGCCAACUUAGACAUUCCUUUUGCCAUGUUUGCUCCCAAGAAUGUUGAGCUGGAAGAUAACGACCCCAUGGUCAAUCCUCCUGACUCCCCAGACACUGAAUCUCCUCUACAAGGCAGCUUACACUCGGAGGGCUCCAGUGGCAGCAGCACAGGGAACACCCACGAUGACUUUGUUAUGAUUGACUUUAAACCAGCAUUUUCAAAAGAUGACAUUCUUCCAAUGGACCUGGGGACAUUUUACCGUGAGUUUCAGAACCCCCCUCAACUCAGCAGCCUCUCCAUUGACAUUGGAGCGCAGUCCAUGGCAGAGGAUUUGGCUGAAGGCUGCUGCCGCAUGCUUGCUAUGGCUGUCAUUCAAACCCCCAAGACUAACUGUACCUCUGACGUGUCAAACUUAGUGGCAAGCUAGGCCUGAUCUUGCAGCCUGAGCAGAGGUAAAAUCCUGGUCUGGCUGGUGAAAGUCAUGUCUGGGACUCAUUACCAGAGAAGCUGGCAGUCCACGAGAAAAACGUCAAAGAGUUUGACGCCUUUGUAGAAACCUUGCAGUGAAGCUGUUUUUCAGUUUUGCUGCAGCAGUUCUUCCUCAUCAAGGCAUCCUGGAGAAUGACAUCAACAAGUAUCUCUAUCGCCCCUGCUCUGCCUUUUGUCUCACUUUGACUAGUUCCUUCCAUCAAGUGAGUUUUCUUUGAUUGCUCUCUUCAACAGCAGAUACAGUUCAUCUGCUGAUUUUCCUCAACUACACCACCGCAUAGUUCUGGACCGCUUUUCCUGCUCACAGUCAGUUUUGAACUUAAGACUUCAGUAGGGACACGGGAAGUCAAACUCCAAUGUAUGAAACUUAUUUUCUCUUCAGCCUCUGUUCUGUGUGGAGGGGCUUUGUGAAAAGUUGCCGUACGCUUCCUCCAGAGGUCCUAUGGUCUAAGUUCCCUAGGUGUAGCUUCUUGCUAACAGACUUUUUCCUACAGUCUCUGAUCCUGUUAGAGCAUAGAAAGCUUCGGCUCGUUUCCAAGGUCUGUGAGUUCAGCAGAUUCAACAGUUUUAAGUCCAGGACAUCCAUUCCGCAGAACGGGGCAUUUCAUCCUGACUUCAGCGUGCGUGCCUGGAGCCCAGGGAGUGACAUCAGCUUUGGGACCUGUGUAAUACAAGUUACCUUUGUUUUCCUGCUUCUAAGGAACUGGGUCUCUACACAUGUGAGGCCUUCUGUUAUGCCAGCGGAUAAGCAGGAAUAAAUUCCACAUUUCCUUCCCAAGUGUACCAAUACUCAGCCAUGCUGAGUUUACCAGUGUUGACUGUUGGCAAGCCUGCACGCAGCAGCUGUGAUGAUGCUGAAUUCAUAGUCUCUGCUUUUGAAAUGUAACUGUAAAUACUAGGAAUCCUAUUUCUUUAGGGUUAUGUAACUAGGAGUCUUAGUCCAAGAUUCUUUCCUCUAACUCUUGCAAACCUUCCUGCUUUAUGGUUAAUAGAUGAUCUUAAGAAUCAAGAAAUAUUUAUUGCUUUUAAAGAAACCUAUAUUUAAAAGAUGUUCUGUUUUCACGUAGUAGUGCGGGUCAUUCUGCCCUGGAUCACUGCAGACAGCAAGUGUGCCAUGGAAUCCUGGCCAGUGAGACUGGUCUCUCUUUGCAGGAAAAUAUCCAAGAUACUUAUUUUCUAAGGUAGACUUGAUUAUUCUAAUAUAAUGCUCUGAUUUGGGGACUAUGUGUCCAUUACAUCCAGUCAGGGCCCAUUGAUAGAAUGAAAUGCACACAUCAGUGUAGUGGACUGGCAGGGACUUGGUUAAAAGCUGUAUUCUGAUAGGCAUGGAUGAAUUUGCAGUGUUCUUCAGCCAUUCAGGAGCAGCUUCUUUAAAGAAGCACAUUUUUUGGGAGCUUAUGGUACUUUUUAAUCAGCUGGCUUUUGAUUAGCUGAAAUUUUAUUUUUGUAAUGAUCUGGCUAUCAACAGUGUGACUGGCUGGCAGUGCUCUGUGGUUGAUUUGGCUGUUGCCUGUCUUUUGCCUGAUGUAAGGAUCGGAGAAGAAACUGACACUAAUCAGAAACUUAGGUAAGUUAGGUCUUCUUGUGGUUCUCUCUCCUCCUCCCACGUGUAACUAGAGUGAGCAACUGCAAGACCCCUUACUGUCCUAAAACACUUUUUUUUUUUUCCUUCAGAAGUGGGGUUGUGUUGCCUCAGUAGUGAGGAACCAUCUUAAUUUCCUUAGAGUAGCUCAGUAACCAGCCUUCGAGUUAGCGCAAUGUGGCAGCUUUUUAACUUAGCUGCAUUCUUAAUUUAAAGAGAUUGCUAGCAGCUGACAGGGGAACCCCACCUCCUCUCUAGAACACUAUUUCUGUGCCACUGUUAGAGCAAGGAACCAAGUUCAGAAUAGAGCUUACUGUAAGGUCAGAGCAAUGCAAUGCUUUGAACAUUACUAGCUUUUUUUGUUGGGUGAUGUGUUCCGUGGGAGACCACGUUAGCUCUAAAACUGUAGGUGAGAGCUAUGUUGAAGGAAAGCUACCCACCAGAACCUUUUUAGCUAACUCAACCAAUUCAAGUUUUCAGCAACCUCACAAAGAAAUUGCUUAGUCCUUGCAAAUAAGAUGCACAAACAUUUAAGAAAGCUUCCAAGGUAAACAGCUCACAAGAGGGCUUAAGUUACAUGGGCUUUAACAAAUACUUGAUCCCCGCAGGCAGAGCCACCUUGUUUUAUGGGUGGAAAGGGUUGCAAAAGGGUACAGGAACACAAGGAAUUGGUGGACCUCUGCUGAGGAAGUUGGUCUCUGCCACCUUGUAGGAAGUAGCUCUCAGACAGGUGGUUGCUGUCGCCUUUCUCUUAACGUACACGCUGUGCUUGGGGACGUGAUAGGAGCUGGGCUGCAAAGCAGCAGAAGCGGGGUAAAGUGCUGGUUCACACUCUAUUCAUGGAAAAGAAUAGACUAGGUUGAACUUUGUGUAGCCAGUGCUACCGCUGUCCUCUUCUAACAGCAACAAGCUGCGGAGUUGGCAGAAAGCAGGCCGUUCGUGGUAAUCCUGUCCAGAAGGUCCCCUGGGCCCAAUGCUUGUUCUCAUUUGUUGAUGCAGUUCCUAACAUGGCUACAGCUCCCACAUCUCAGAAGGCAGAACAUCAGCAUGGCACAUUUUUUUUCCUACUUCAGAAGGCUGGAAAUUCACCUAUAUAAGCUGCUAGUGUUGAGCUGGAUGGCCAUAGCAAUAAAGAGAUUCUCUAGGGCUGAGUUACGUGCCUCUCUUCUGGGCAUUCCUCAGCUUCAACACAUAGUUGCUACGUCUAGGCUCUGUGUUCUCUGACCACUGCACAAAUGCUCCGCUUCAGGAAAGAUCCAGCUGCUGCUGCUGUGGCCUGCCACAGAUUGUGUUACGAAGGCUGUUUAUUUUAGCAGCUGUUUGCUCAAUUCUAUAUUAAGGACAGUAUGUAUGUAGCUGCUGAUUUACAGAUACUUUGGGUGAAGGGGAAGGCUCCUAAAUUGUAUUGUUUUGGAAAUAGUCUCCAGUGUACUUCAAGUAUUCAAAGAAUUUCCAAUAAAACUUUUACGUAAGCAA